AGAUUGAACGCUGGCGGCAUGCUUUACACAUGCAAGUCGAACGGUAACGCGGGGGCAACCCUGGCGACGAGUGGCGAACGGGUGAGUAAUACAUCGGAACAUGUCCUGGAGUGGGGGAUAGCUCGGCGAAAGCCGGAUUAAUACCGCAUACGCUCUGAGGAGGAAAGCGGGGGACCCGUAAGGGCCUCGCGCUGCGGGAGUGGCCGAUGUCGGAUUAGCUAGUUGGUGAGGUAAGGCUCACCAAGGCGACGAUCCGUAGCUGGUCUGAGAGGAUGAUCAGCCACACUGGGACUGAGACACGGCCCAGACUCCGUACGGGAGGCAGCAGGUGGGUAAUUUUGGACAAGUGGGGGACAACCCUGAUCCAGCAUGACCGCGUGAGUGAAGAAGGCGUUACGGGUUGUAAGCUCGUUUCGGACGGACGAAGUGGUACGGACGGUAAGUACGUCCGUGGUAUA
Molecule: ribosomal RNA, 458 nt
Filed under: uncultured soil bacterium
Lineage: Bacteria
Description: bacterial SSU rRNA
Rfam family: Bacterial small subunit ribosomal RNA
Source: RNAcentral